Molecule: long non-coding RNA, 1560 nt
Filed under: Mus musculus (house mouse)
Lineage: Eukaryota; Metazoa; Chordata; Mammalia; Rodentia; Muridae
Description: long non-coding RNA chr3:137400958-137402518
Source: RNAcentral
AACCUUAUUGAAUGUUCCUUUCAAACCAUCAGAGAAUCCAUCUCAUGCCAUGUGAUUGUCCCACAAUUCAGAAAACAUUAAUUUAUCUGAGUAAAUGUUACUUUAUAAACUUCUCCUUUUAUCUGAGCCACUCACAAGGAUUUAAUCAUAACUUUCUUCUUUUUCUGGCUAGCUAUUUGCUAUCAUUUGCUGUGGGUACCAACAGGAGGGAUUUGGAGAACAAUCAUUUUAGUCACAUGCCCUAGUUUAGAGAAACCAAAAAUAAUCAUAUGUCCAUGUCUACUGAUUUAGUAUCAGAUGACAGAAUACAAUGUAAAUUGGUCAUAACUUAUUUUACAGGAAAAACAGGCAUAAAUCAUAUAUAAAAAUAGAUCUCUAUAUUCUUUGUCCUGCAUUUAACAUCACACUUAUGCCACUAUUGUUUAUUAUCAGAAAACACAGUCUCUUGUAUGAAAUAAGCAAAGUUAUUUGUUGUAUUGCUGGUAAAGCUUUCUGAUUCAAAUUGAUAAGGUUUAAGCUGAGCUUUGGAAAUAUAUUUGCAGUUGUCAAGACCGCACUUUCAUAGUACAGGAUAAAACUCAACAACAGACUUCAACAGUUCUGUGUUUGACUGAUCUUCCGACUGUGAGAUAUUAGCAAAAGCAUCCCAUAUGCAUUUGAGAUUUGACUUGCCUCGUUUCCUCUACAGAUCCAAGUGUGGCCUUCUGACAGCACAUAUGUGUCCUUACAGUUAUAAAUAAAAACCAGAGAUACUCACAUUUAGCCAUAUGCCUUAGCAUUCAUUUGUACUGAGAUUUUUAUAUUCUCCAAACUGAGUCUAGGUCUGAAUUCUGUGUACAUUUAAAACAGGUUGUUGUCUUCAAACUAUUUCCUCUACUUCAAGAAAGGGAUAGACAUUCCUUUUUGUUUUUUGUUUUUCCUGGAAUGCUGGCGAUCAGAGCCAGGUGUUGUGCAUGCUAGGCAAGCAUCUUUUCCACUAAGCUACCCCAAAUCCUGAUUCAUUGAAAGGUGAUUUCACUAAGGAGCUCAGACUAAUCUCAAACUUGUGAUCCUCCUGCCUCAGCUUUCCGAGUGCUGGAAUUAUAUAGAGUUGUGCCAUUUUGCUCAGCUGUAUUCUAAUUUUGUCCUCAGUAUUUUAUUCCUCCAUGUGCAUAUAUAGGUAUGGGCCUUGACCUCAGGCUAUUCAGUAUAAUGAAAUGAAUCGAUGUGGUUUUUUAGAUUCCAGAAAAGUUUCAGGGCACAGUUACAUUUCCUAUCUGUUUUACUUUCACACAAAAUUAUGCAUUUCGGAGGCUAAAAGAAACUCAAAUAAAGGAGAAUUUGAAAAUUUUGUCUGAUGCAAGCUUAAAAUAUUUUAUUCUGAAACAAGUCUAUCAGCAGGAAAGGUUGUGACCUGAUAUUAAUAAAAGGAACAAAGGGUUUUGAUUUUCUUUAUAUUCUAAUCCUAUCUGCUAAUAAAUAUUUUAACUGCAUCUUCCAAAUGCAGCAUUAUGCCGCUUUCAAAAGUCAAAGGACUGAAGUUUGGAAUAAAUUCUUUUCCUAGAGCUUCGAAUUUGUGGG